UGGCCCGUAGCUCAACGGUGAGAGCGUCUGCCUUAUAUGCAGCGGGUUACCGGUUCGAGUCCGGUCGGGUCAA
This 73-nucleotide transfer RNA is filed under the name Chitinophaga sp. RNAcentral's name for it is "tRNA-Ile". It matches the Rfam family "tRNA". From Rfam's summary of the family: Transfer RNA (tRNA) molecules are approximately 80 nucleotides in length. The record is from RNAcentral. Lineage: Bacteria; Pseudomonadati; Bacteroidota; Chitinophagia; Chitinophagales; Chitinophagaceae.